Molecule: non-coding RNA, 46 nt
Organism: Schistosoma rodhaini
Lineage: Eukaryota; Metazoa; Platyhelminthes; Trematoda; Strigeidida; Schistosomatidae
Source: Rfam
GCCCUGCUGUGGAGUCUCACAAUAAGACGAAACGGCCGUCCAGUGU